Molecule: ribosomal RNA, 698 nt
Organism: Lupinus angustifolius (narrow-leaved blue lupine)
Lineage: Eukaryota; Viridiplantae; Streptophyta; Magnoliopsida; Fabales; Fabaceae
Rfam family: Bacterial large subunit ribosomal RNA
Source: Rfam
GCGCAUAGAUGUUCUUCUCGUAGUGCCCCAUUCUCUCUCCUUGUCUUUUUCCCCUUAGACUUCUCCAAAAGGGUCUUGUAGGAUUGAUCCAGACUGACAACCCGCCUGGCCGAUCUAUCAAUGACUAGGAAGAAGCUUCACUGAAACAAUGGAGAGGUCUGAACCGACUAAUGAUGAAAAAUCAAUGGAUGAGUUGUGUUUAGGGGUGAAAUGCCACUUGAGCCCAAAGCUAGAUGGUUUUCCCUUAAAAUGUGUUGAGCAACAAUAGUUUUCUGAACAUAUAGGGAUAAAAUAAUGUUGCAGUGGGGCUGCAAGAGCAUUACCAAAUUGAGGCAAACUCUGAAUACUAGAUAUGACCUCAAAAUACCAAGGGUCAAGGUCGGACAGUGAGACAAUGAGGGAUAAGCUUCUUUGUCGAGAGGGAAAUGACCCUGAUCACUAGCUAAGGACCCUAAAUAACCACUUAGUGAUAAAGGAGGUAGGGGCGCAGAGACAACGAUGAGGUUUGCUUAGAAGCAACCACCCUUGAAAGUAUGUGUAAUAUCUCACUAAACGAGCGCUCUUGUGCCGUAGAUGAAUGGGCUAAAUGGUAUGCCGAAGCUAUGGGAUGUAAAAAUUUAUUGGUAGGGGAGCGUUCCACGUUAGAGGGAAGAACCUGCACGAGCAGUGGUGGACAAAGCGGAAGCAAGAAUAUCCGC